This 617-nucleotide ribosomal RNA is filed under the name uncultured bacterium. Its description in RNAcentral is "bacterial SSU rRNA". The stretch from base 1 to 525 matches the Rfam family "Bacterial small subunit ribosomal RNA", at positions 338 to 873 of the family's 1533-position model. The record is from RNAcentral.
CCUACGGGAGGCAGCAGUGGGGAAUAUUGCACAAUGGGCGCAAGCCUGAUGCAGCAACGCCGCGUGAGGGACGACGGCCUUCGGGUUGUAAACCUCUUUUAGUAGGGAAGAAGCGAAAGUGACGGUACCUGCAGAAAAAAGCACCGGCUAACUACGUGCCAGCAGCCGCGGUAAUACGUAGGGUGCAAGCGUUAUCCGGAAUUAUUGGGCGUAAAGAGCUCGUAGGCGGUUUGUCGCGUCUGCUGUGAAAACUGGAGGCUCAACCUCCAGCCUGCAGUGGGUACGGGCAGACUAGAGUGCGGUAGGGGAGAUUGGAAUUCCUGGUGUAGCGGUGGAAUGCGCAGAUAUCAGGAGGAACACCGAUGGCGAAGGCAGAUCUCUGGGCCGUAACUGACGCUGAGGAGCGAAAGCAUGGGGAGCGAACAGGAUUAGAUACCCUGGUAGUCCAUGCCGUAAACGUUGGGAACUAGAUGUAGGGACCAUUCCACGGUUUCUGUGUCGCNGCUACGACAUACGUUACCCGUCCGUCGGGAGGUACGGCCGCGACGACGUAAACGUAACGUAAGUAGUUAGUUAGUACGUUGUUGAGNGCGCGACGACGACGACGGAGGAGGAGG